UAGUGUAGUUAACACCUGCAUUAUUUGACGUUACCUACAGAAGAAAGCACCGGCUAACUCCGUGCCAGUAGCCGCGGUAAUACGGAGGGUGCGAGCGUUAAUCGGAAUUACUGGGCGUAAAGCGCAUGCAGGCGGCCUGUUAAGUCAGAUGUGAAAGCCCGGGGCGUUAACCUCGGAAAUUGCAUUUGAAACUAGGCAGGCUAGAGUCUUGUAGAGGGGGGUAGGAAUUUCAGGUGUAGCGGUGAAAUAGCGUAGAGAUCUGAAGGAAUACCAGUGGCGAAGGCGGCCCCCUGGACAAAGACUGACGCUCAGAUGCGAAAGCGUGGGGAGCAAACAGGAUUAGAUACCCUGGUAG
RNAcentral lists this ribosomal RNA (355 nucleotides) under uncultured bacterium. RNAcentral's name for it is "bacterial SSU rRNA". It matches the Rfam family "Bacterial small subunit ribosomal RNA", at positions 445 to 793 of the family's 1533-position model. The record is from RNAcentral.